Cephus cinctus (wheat stem sawfly) is the source of this 1276-nucleotide long non-coding RNA. RefSeq lists it as uncharacterized. The record is from RefSeq and is a predicted model, not a curated record. The transcript has 3 exons. NCBI's taxonomy places the organism in Eukaryota, Metazoa, Arthropoda, Insecta, Hymenoptera, Cephidae.
UCUUGUGCUAGUCGGUCAGUCGUUAGAGUGAAGCGAGCGUGCGUUCGUUCCUUUCUUUCUUUCUUCCCCUCGCGAGAGCACUUACACCCGUCUUCAUAUGCUUUUUUAUUCUUCCAUUUCUUGGUCUUAUUCUACGCAUCCAUGUUACCGAUAAUCGUUUGUACUUCUGUUGUGUUUUAUACACCCCUUCUCCCGUACCACUUUGACAACGAAUUUUCAAAAAUUAAAAAAUUGAAGUAAUUAGUUUUUGAUACCCGUAUUGGUUCCUAUCGACUACGUCAGUCGUUUCCAUAUUGCGCCAAGAUUUUUUGUUACUGGGUGUCCAUUAGUAAUGGUCACGCAAAUAAUACGAACCAGGACAAGACAAGCUACAGUGAGUCAUACAAAUGUUCAGAAAUUGGAUUAAUAUAUUAGGAACGUGAAUUUAUAUUUGAUGUUUAUUAUGGUGGAAUACCUGGAGAAAUCGAGAUUUUUCAGUGUAUAUGAACUAUUUUCAUUCUGCAAUACGAAAGUGCAACAUCUCAGUUCGAAGUGCAGAAUGUGUUUUAUUUCAAUACGGCGAUACGCAUAAAAGCGAUAACUAGCAAUCUUCUAAUAUGCGUAGAAUGGAAUUAUAUGUGCAGUAUUGUACAUUUCCAUAAGAUACAAUUUAACGCGAACGUCGUCGAAUCAACGGGAUAUGAAGUGAUAAAUAGGAAGUUCUGCAGAGCAUAAUGGAUGAAAAGCGGCAUCAAUUAUUGUUUAUGAGUGCGUUAAUUGAGUAUCUGUUUUGCAAUGAUUUCAAAUCAGAUUAAUCGUCUAUAUACAGUGAAUUAAAAAUGACGCUACUUUGCACAACGGCAAAGAUUUAGCACAAACGUGACAACUAGCACCUGGUGUAUCUUCUUAAGUGUCAAAUUGCCUCAGUGUUAAACUUGGAAAACGUGUAUUAGCAAACAAGCACAGUUUCUCUAUGGUUGAUGUAGAAUAACUGCAGUGCGCAAAAUAUGGCACGCACAAGGAUAGCACGAAGAAAAGCCAUCUCAUCGGCGGAGUUUCGUUCAGCAUUAGCAUCCCGACGGUUUCUACUGUUGCAGGCACAGUUGUUAAUUGGCCAUACACAGUUAUUAAGCCAUGAAGCACAGUUCUUUGUAUGGAUAAUAUCGUGCACAAUUACUUGAAUAUUAUGUUUAUUGGUGUACAGUUUUCGGUGCACAGUCGACGUUCAAUAUGUUGAAAACAUUCUACGAGACGGACUUUACUAAGUAAGAGUUACAAUACUUAUCUUGAGUAAGUU